RNAcentral lists this long non-coding RNA (2087 nucleotides) under Papio anubis (olive baboon). RNAcentral's name for it is "lncRNA (ENSPANG00000041177.1)". The record is from RNAcentral. Lineage: Eukaryota; Metazoa; Chordata; Mammalia; Primates; Cercopithecidae.
GCCUGCAGCAGAACUUAUAAGCAAGAAAAUACAUUUGCCAAUUAAUAAUUAAAAAGACAACCAAGUUAACAGAAAAAUAGGCAGGAGAGGUCAUUCACAAUAGAGGGUACAAGUGGCCAAAAAGAAAAUGAGAUUUUCAACUUUAUUACUCAUCAGAGAAAUGCAAGUGAAAAGCACAGUGAGAUACUACAUGAAUAACUGAAAUGAAAAAAAAAAAGACAUUCCUAAAUGUUGAGAAGGCCAUGGAACAACUGGAACUCUAACAACCUCCUGGAUAGAAUUUGAACUGGUAAAACCCCCUUGUGUAACUGGCAAUUUCUAAUAAAGCUAAACAUAUGCUUACCCCUAAUCUAGAAACUUCACAUCUAAGAUUGUUAUACCAGAACUAUGUGUAAUAGUCAAAACAAGAAAAAACUCAAUUGUCCAUCAGCAGAAUGUAACUAUCCUGGGGUGUAUCCAUGCAAUGAAAUAUUACACAGCAGUAAAAAGAAACAAACUACUUCUAUCACAACACAGAUGAAUCUCACAAACAAGGUUGGGCAGAAGAAGCCAUUUUUAUGGGUAUUUCAUUGCAAUCCUCUUUUGUAACAGGUAUGCUUUUAUUUAUAAAGGUCAAAUACUUUUUAAAAAUAGUGUAUAGUACUGCUUGUGGGAUUAAUGGUUGGGAGAGGGCACAAAUUAGGGUUUCCGGAGUGUGAAAUAUUUUAUUUACAUCUGGGUGCUGUUUACAGAAGUAUGUUUAGUUUAGGAUUUCUAGGCUGGGCGCGGUGGCUCAAGCCUGUAAUCCCAGCACUUUGGGAGGCCGAGACGGGUGGAUCACGAGGUCAGGAGAUCGAGACCAUCCUGGCUAACACGGUGAAACCCCGUCUCUACUAAGAAAUACAAAAAACUAGCCGGGCGAGGUGGCGGGCACCUGUAGUCCCAGCUACUCAGGAGGCUGAGGCCGGAGAAUGGCGUGAACCCGAAAGGCGGAGCUUGCAGUGAGCUGAGAUCCGGCCACUGCACUCCAGCCUGGGCUACAGAGCGAGACUCCGUCUCAAAAAAAAAAAAAACAAAAACAAACAAACAAACAAAAAAAGAUAUAUAUUUAAGGAAUUACUACUUGGAAAAGGUGACUAACUGAAGUGGCCACACACAACAGCAAUCACAUGUGUGAAGUACAUAAGGAACAACCUGUGACUGUCCUAAAAGAGAGAGAAAGGGAAAAACUUGCUAAACCAUAGUAUAUGGUGUCAAUGCUCAGAAAAGAUAACCAAUUAAUUUUUUACAGGUUCUGAAUUAAUUAAAGACACUUUUAAUACCCAAGAUCUCACCCAUUAAAAAAAAAAAAAGAAGAACGUGGAUGAUAAUAUGCAAGGCAUGUGAAGGAAACCACAGGCUCUCUUGGGAGACAUAAAAGAAGUUCUCAAGAACUGGUGAGAAAUAUAUUCCUCCUUGGGAAGACUUCAGAACCACAGUGAUAGGAAGAGAUAAUCCCAGCACUUUGGGAGGCCAAGGUAGGGGGACCACAAGGUCAGGAGUCCAAGACCAGCCUCGCCAACAUGGUGAAGCCCCGUCUCUACUAAAAAUACAAAAAUUAACUGGGUGCGGUGGCAUGUACCUAUAAUCCCAGCUACUCGGGAGGCUGAGGCAGGAGAAUUGCUUGAACCUGGGAGCCAAGAUCACACCACUGCACUUCAGCCUGGGCAACAGAGCAAGACUCCAUCUUGAAAAAAAAAAAAGAAGAAGAAGAGAUGCCCUUUACCUGAGAACUUAAGGGGAGGCAUCUUUUACUGAGAACCUACUGUGUAGUAGGUGUUUUCCAUGAAUCAGCUCAUUUAAUUCCCAAUCCUCUAUGAACUAGGUCCAGUAACAGCCCCCAAUCCACAGAUGCAAAGACCAAGGCCCAAGAUGAGACAGCUGAGCAAUGAGAGAAUUGCAUAGUGAGAGGCAGGGCUGCGUGUGAACCAAAGCUGCAAGGCACAUCAUCAGAGAAAGUGCAGGCUAUUCACUGAGUGGUGUUGGGAUAACGGCCACUCCUGCAGGGAAGGUACAGUCAAUCCUCUACCUCACUUCACAGACAAGAUACUACCUGCACUAAAGAUUCA